UCCGGUUUAACACCGGCGGUCUCCUUAGAGUGCCCAACUAAAUGGUGGCAACUAGGGAUAAGGGUUGCGCUCGUUAAGGGACUUAACCCGACAUCUCACGAUACGAGCUGACGACAGCCAUGCAGCACCUAAACUAGCGGCCUCCGAAGAGGAAACUCUAUCUCUAGAGCUGUCCGCUAUUGUCUAACCCAGGUAAGGUUCUUCGCGUUGCAUCGAAUUAAACCACAUGCUCCACCGCUUGUGCGGGCCCCCGUCAAUUCCUUUGAGUUUUAAUCUUGCGACCGUACUUCCCAGGCGGGGUACUUAAUGCGUUAGCGUCGGCACUGCAGGGGUCAAUUCCUGCAACACCUAGUACCCAUCGUUUACAGCGUGGACUAC
This 378-nucleotide unclassified non-coding RNA is filed under the name uncultured Oligoflexales bacterium. RNAcentral describes it as "contains 16S-23S intergenic spacer region". Lineage: Bacteria; Pseudomonadati; Bdellovibrionota; Oligoflexia; Oligoflexales. The record is from RNAcentral.